CCAGCCCCCAUGGAAACCAUAGCAACGAGCAGCUAGAAGACGCCGGCCAUUCAUCUCCCUUUUGUUCCUUGCCUUGCAUGUGGACUCUCCAAUUACAGUCCGCAUAAACGCAGGAAGGACGGAAGACUGCGAGAAAGGAAAAGAGGAAAGGGAAAGAGAGAAUUGAAGCGAAGAAAAUGAGAAGGAAGAAAGGAAAGGAGCAAGGAAGGGAAGAAGAAGGAAAUGAAGAAGAAAGUGAAUUCUUAGCCUCUGUCUGCCAGCUGUGUGACCCUGGACACAUUACUUAACCUCUCUGAGGUCCAGUUAUUUUCUUCAGCAAAAUAGAGCUUCCAGGUGGUGCCCAUCCUUCCAUGGACUACAAUCUGAGCAGCCAGAAGACUAGAAGAUUUGCUCAAGAAAAUCUAGCUAGUCAUAAUGGGCAGAACAUGACUUUGAACUCAGAUCAACAUGUCCAUAUCCCCUUGGCAACUGCUGCUCCAACAUGCGCAAUGGGGGUUCUCCUGUAAGCACACCCAGUCUCCUCCCGAGGGCCUUCUCCCUGCCCACUCAGGACACGCUGGAAGUUCUGGCAGUUACUGCCUCAACAGCAGCAAUUACCCAAUGAUGGGUGGGAGCUGGAAGGCAAAUACCCCAGCUUUUUUACCUCUUCAGUGGGAUAACCCUGAGCUAUCUUCUACAACAUCUCCCAGAAGUCCCCAGUGAGACUGCAUUCCAGUUGCUCACAGUGUUAACUUGCUCAAUAAAACCUUUUCUUGGCUUUUUCUCCUUUUCUCUGUCACUUCCCCACUCUCCUACUAGUAGUUCUUGAGAUGAGCUACCAAAUAAAUU
This 828-nucleotide long non-coding RNA is filed under the name Equus caballus (horse). RNAcentral's name for it is "lncRNA (ENSECAG00000059954.1)". The record is from RNAcentral. Lineage: Eukaryota; Metazoa; Chordata; Mammalia; Perissodactyla; Equidae.